UACGGAGGGGGCAAGCGUUGUUCGGAAUCACUGGGCGUAAAGGGCGUGUAGGCGGUUGGGUAAGUGGAAUGUGAAAUGCCCCGGCUCACCCGGGGACCGGCAUUCCAAACUGCUCAGCUCGAGUAUGGGAGAGGAUGAGGGAAUUCCUGGUGUAGCGGUGAAAUGCGUAGAUAUCAGGAGGAACACCGGUGGCGAAAGCGCUCAUCUGGCCCAAUACUGACGCUGAGGCGCGAAAGCUAGGGGAGCAAACGGG
Molecule: ribosomal RNA, 253 nt
Filed under: uncultured bacterium
Lineage: Bacteria
Description: partial 16S ribosomal RNA
Rfam family: Bacterial small subunit ribosomal RNA
Source: RNAcentral